Molecule: microRNA precursor, 58 nt
Filed under: Echinops telfairi (small Madagascar hedgehog)
Lineage: Eukaryota; Metazoa; Chordata; Mammalia; Afrosoricida; Tenrecidae
Source: RNAcentral
GUGGUUAUCCCUGCUGUGUUCGCUUUAUUUGUGACGAAUCAUACAGGGACAUCCAGUU